GAUGAAGAACGCAGCGAAAUGCGAAAAGUAGUGUGAAUUGCAGAAUUCAGUGAAUCAUCGAAUCUUUGAACGCACAUUGCGCCCCUUGGUAUUCCAUGGGGCAUGCCUGUUCGAGCGUCAUUUGUACCUUCAAGCUUUGCUUGGUGUUGGGUGUUUGUCUCGCCUUUGCGUGUAGACUCGCCUUAAAAUAAUUGGCAGCCGGCGUAUUGAUUUCGGAGCGCAGUACAUCUCGCGCUUUGCACUCAUAACGACAGCGUCCAAAAGUACAUUUUACACUCUUGACCUCGGAUCAGGUAGGGAUACCCGCUGAUCUUAAGCAUAUCAAUAAGCGGAGGA
This 336-nucleotide unclassified non-coding RNA is filed under the name soil metagenome. RNAcentral's name for it is "partial contains 5.8S ribosomal RNA, internal transcribed spacer 2, and large subunit ribosomal RNA". The stretch from base 1 to 120 matches the Rfam family "5.8S ribosomal RNA", at positions 35 to 154 of the family's 154-position model. The record is from RNAcentral.